UACGGAGGGUGCUAGCGUUGUUCGGAUUUAUUGGGCGUAAAGGGCGCGUAGGCGGCGGGGUAAGUCGGGUGUGAAAUCUCAGGGCUCAACCCUGAAACUGCACUUGAUACUGCUCUGCUUGAGGACUGGAGAGGAGACUGGAAUUCACGGUGUAGCAGUGAAAUGCGUAGAUAUCGUGAGGAAGACCAGUGGCGAAGGCGGGUCUCUGGACAGUUCCUGACGCUGAGGCGCGAAGGCCAGGGGAGCAAACGGG
This 253-nucleotide ribosomal RNA is filed under the name uncultured bacterium. RNAcentral's name for it is "partial 16S ribosomal RNA". It matches the Rfam family "Bacterial small subunit ribosomal RNA", at positions 524 to 776 of the family's 1533-position model. The record is from RNAcentral.